CCUACGGGAGGCAGCAGUGGGGAAUAUUGCGCAAUGGGCGAAAGCCUGACGCAGCGACGCCGUGUGAGGGAUGAAGGUCUUCGGAUCGUAAACCUCUGUCAGCAGGGAAGAAAGGUCACUGUGCUAAUCAGCAGUGAAUUGACGGUACCUGCAAAGGAAGCACCGGCUAACUCCGUGCCAGCAGCCGCGGUAAUACGGAGGGUGCGAGCGUUAAUCGGAAUUACUGGGCGUAAAGCGCUCGUAGGCGGUAUGUCAAGUCAAGGGGGAAAUCCCCGCGCUCAACGUGGGAACUGCCUUUGAAACUGGCAAACUGGAGUGUGUGAGAGGAUAGUGGAAUUCCAGGUGUAGGAGUGAAAUCCGUAGAUAUCUGGAGGAACAUCAGUGGCGAAGGCGACUAUCUGGCACAUAACUGACGCUGAGGAGCGAAAGCGUGGGUAGCAAACAGGAUUAGAUACCCGGGUAGUC
Molecule: ribosomal RNA, 465 nt
Filed under: uncultured bacterium
Lineage: Bacteria
Description: partial 16S ribosomal RNA
Rfam family: Bacterial small subunit ribosomal RNA
Source: RNAcentral